This 23-nucleotide microRNA is filed under the name Monodelphis domestica (gray short-tailed opossum). RNAcentral's name for it is "mdo-miR-7261-3p". Lineage: Eukaryota; Metazoa; Chordata; Mammalia; Didelphimorphia; Didelphidae. The record is from miRBase by way of RNAcentral.
CCAAGGUCCUUUCCUCUCCAGAU